Phyllopteryx taeniolatus (common seadragon) is the source of this 2285-nucleotide long non-coding RNA. RefSeq lists it as uncharacterized. The transcript is spliced from 3 exons. NCBI's taxonomy places the organism in Eukaryota, Metazoa, Chordata, Actinopteri, Syngnathiformes, Syngnathidae. The record is from RefSeq and is a predicted model, not a curated record.
UACUUCAAAUUCAAAUACCCUAGCUAACCACCCUCCUCCCAACUAACCUAUCUUACUUUACCUUAUCUUACCUACCUACCUACCUACCAACCCAACUACUUUCUUACCUACCACCUACUCACCAACCACACCCUUUUACCUACCCACCUAUUCACCUACCCAAAUCACAUACUUACCUACCAAUUUACCUCACUACCAACCUAUUUCCCCUUUCACCUACCUCAGCUUUUUACCUCCCCACCUACAGUAUUUGCAUAUUUAACGAUUUUCCUUACUUUAACUUACUUAACCUAACCUAUCUAGUCAGUGUGUAUACUGUAUACUGCACGUAUGUACGUGAGCAUAGUGAGGUUCAAAUAAGCCGUGUGGAUGGAGGAGUUGAGUGCAGACGGGUAGAGCGUGGAGGAAGGAGGUAGGGGAGCGGGUGAGGGAGGGCGCAUAACAGAUGCGCUUCUUGCAUGUAGAGCGUCCGGGUGGGCUCGGCCGAGGCAAGUGGCUGCGCCGGUUAAGCCUCUUACGUCCAAUUCAGAUGACUGAGGGCAUAUCAACACUGUGUGUGCGCGCGUAUGUGAGUGUGUUUGUGUGAUCAGCGACAUGCCAAAUACACACACACACACACACACACACACACAGGCCAGUAGGCUUCAUGUGACGCAUUAGCGUUGCCGAGGACGGCGCAGCAUCCAUCCUCUUUCUCAUGUUGUAUACAAUCUGCUGGCAAACACAUGCUGCUCAUCCAGCACAGUAAAACACGCGGAGGAAAAGGCAGAUUAGCACAAGACAGGACACUUCAUUAGGUACACCAACCCAAGCGAGAAAGGAAAAAGACAAGAUGUCUUCACAACCUCCUCCGAAGGUUUUUGGUCUUCCUGUGCGAGAGGAAGUGGAGGCUAACGUGGGAUCAGGUUUCAGGCCAUUAGCCCGACUGAGAAGAUGAGAGUGAGGAGAGAGCCACAUCCAUCCAUCCAUCCAUCACUCUAUCCACCCACGCGUUCCAGGAGGAUAGAGGCGAGACGUUAAGUCACAGACUGACAGUCUCGUCUCCCGCGGCGACAGCUAUCAGCUCGCCAAAGGGGAGUUACGUACAAAGUAUCAGGUGAACAGGUGGAUGGAUGGAUGGAAUGCAUUGAAGGAGCGUGAUGAAGCGGGAACAGGCAGUCGUGAUACCACCUGACGAUUCCCAGUGAGCGUCAGGGGAAGUGGAAAGCGGAAUUAGCCGAAAGUCGCUGCCAUCUCGUCGGCUCAGUCAUCUUCGCUCGCUUGCCUGCAUAUAAACUGCUGUAAUUAAAUCAUCAUUCCUUCCGGCGUGUUGACAAUUCACUGGAAGUAGGUCGCGUGUGGGCUGCUCGGCCGUCUGGUUCGAUGCCGAGAUGCUAAACGGACACACGCGGGCCGCACGUGUUGGAGCGACCGCGUUGGCGUUUGCAUUAUCUACGACAAUGUCAUCGCACGACGGCCAUCUUGUACGCCCGCAGGUGACACGGACGCUCCGGAGAUGCUUCAGCGCGGCAAUGAAGUGUUUCGCCUAUCAUCCUGGAAAAUCAUCGAAAUGACUCGGACUGGCACAGUGGCAUCGUCAUGAUGACAACAGAGAGCUCAUCUGUAAUCCUCACUCAGAUUAAAUUAGAGUAGAGUUCUAUCCCGACAACGUCACUGCGGAUUUAGGAGUUAGGGUUAAGAGGGUUCAGGUUUGGGAUAGGAUUAGGGGUUAUGGGAUAUAGUUAUGUUUAUGGGUAGCAGUUAGGGUUAGAAUUAAGAGUUAGAGUUAGAGGUAAGGGGUAUAUUUAGGAUAAAGGGUUAGGAUUAGGUGUAUGAUUAUGGUUAGAGGUUGCAGUUAGGUUUAGUAUAAAGGGUUCGGAGUAGGGGUUAGGAUAAUAGGUUGGUCAGACACACUGUAGACACAUUUUCUCCCAAAAAUGUGUCUACAGUGUGCAUAUCUUUUUCGAUAUUUUUACAGUGUGCUGACAUUAUUAGUAUUAACCGCUAAUUUAUACGAGCCGUUCCUUGUUGGGACUCCCAAAUUACUAUCAGGGCAAAUGUGCCUGUCCUGGCCAUGUUCCCUUCGCUUUUUGAAAAAUAGCUGCUACACAGGUCAAAAAAGUCACUAAAUAAAGUUUGCAACACCGAAAACAAGUCGGUGCUCUUGCUCGUUUGUACUGUCCACACGUGCACAUCAAAAUAAAGCAACAUUUUCAAAAUAAAAACUACAUUUUAGUUUGACCUCAGAAAGAUUGCAUGCGAGGGCAGGUCAGAGACCGGGUGGGCUGUGGCCCGCGGGCCGUACA